This 506-nucleotide ribosomal RNA is filed under the name uncultured bacterium. Its description in RNAcentral is "partial 16S ribosomal RNA". It matches the Rfam family "Bacterial small subunit ribosomal RNA", at positions 28 to 523 of the family's 1533-position model. The record is from RNAcentral.
GAUGAACGCUAGCUACAGGCUUAACACAUGCAAGUCGAGGGGUAACGAGAGGAAAGCUUGCUUUCCUUGUCGACGACCGGCGCACGGGUGAGUAACGCGUAUCCAACCUGCCCCCAACUAGGGAAUAACCUUGCGAAAGUAAGACUAAUACCCUAUAAUUUCCUCAGAUGACAUCUGACGAGGAAUAAAGAUUUAUCGGUUGUGGAUGGGGAUGCGUCUGAUUAGCUUGUUGGCGGGGUAACGGCCCACCAAGGAAACGAUCAGUGGGGGUUCUGAGAGGAGAGUCCCCCACAUUGGAACUGAGACAGGGUCCAAACUCCUACGGGAGGCAGCAGUGGGGAAUAUUGGUCAAUGGGCGGAAGCCUGAACCAGCCAAGUAGCGUGCAGGAUGACGGCCCUAUGGGUUGUAAACUGCUUUUAUACAGGAAUAAAGUUAGCCACGUGUGGUUAUUUGUAGGUACUGUAUGAAUAGGGACCGGCUAAUUCCGUGCCAGCAGCCGCCGUAA